CCCAGACUCCUACGGGAGGCAGCAGUGGGGGAUAUUGCACAAUGGGGGGAACCCUGAUGCAGCGACGCCGCGUGGGUGAAGGAGCGUUUCGGCGCGUAAAGCCCUAUCGGCAGGGAAGAAGGAGGACGGUACCUGACUAGGAAGCCCCGGCUAACUACGUGCCAGCAGCCGCGGUAAUACGUAGGGGGCAAGCGUUAUCCGGAUUUACUGGGUGUAAAGGGGGCGCAGACGGCAGCGCAAGCCAGGAGUGAAAGCCCGGGGCCCAACCCCGGGACUGCUCUUGGAACUGCGCGGCUGGAGUGCAGGAGGGGCAGGCGGAAUUCCUGGUGUAGCGGUGAAAUGCGUAGAUAUCAGGAGGAACACCGGUGGCGAAGGCGGCCUGCUGGACUGCGACUGACGUUGAGGCCCGAAAGCGUGGGGAGCAAACAGGAUUAGAUACCCGCGUAGG
RNAcentral lists this ribosomal RNA (448 nucleotides) under uncultured bacterium. RNAcentral's name for it is "partial 16S ribosomal RNA". It matches the Rfam family "Bacterial small subunit ribosomal RNA", at positions 330 to 794 of the family's 1533-position model. The record is from RNAcentral.